RNAcentral lists this ribosomal RNA (762 nucleotides) under Priestia aryabhattai. RNAcentral's name for it is "bacterial SSU rRNA". It matches the Rfam family "Bacterial small subunit ribosomal RNA", at positions 38 to 784 of the family's 1533-position model. The record is from RNAcentral. Lineage: Bacteria; Bacillati; Bacillota; Bacilli; Caryophanales; Bacillaceae.
GGGGGGGGGGCUAUAAUGCAGUCGAGCGAACUGAUUAGAAGCUUGCUUCUAUGACGUUAGCGGCGGACGGGUGAGUAACACGUGGGCAACCUGCCUGUAAGACUGGGAUAACUUCGGGAAACCGAAGCUAAUACCGGAUAGGAUCUUCUCCUUCAUGGGAGAUGAUUGAAAGAUGGUUUCGGCUAUCACUUACAGAUGGGCCCGCGGUGCAUUAGCUAGUUGGUGAGGUAACGGCUCACCAAGGCAACGAUGCAUAGCCGACCUGAGAGGGUGAUCGGCCACACUGGGACUGAGACACGGCCCAGACUCCUACGGGAGGCAGCAGUAGGGAAUCUUCCGCAAUGGACGAAAGUCUGACGGAGCAACGCCGCGUGAGUGAUGAAGGCUUUCGGGUCGUAAAACUCUGUUGUUAGGGAAGAACAAGUACAAGAGUAACUGCUUGUACCUUGACGGUACCUAACCAGAAAGCCACGGCUAACUACGUGCCAGCAGCCGCGGUAAUACGUAGGUGGCAAGCGUUAUCCGGAAUUAUUGGGCGUAAAGCGCGCGCAGGCGGUUUCUUAAGUCUGAUGUGAAAGCCCACGGCUCAACCGUGGAGGGUCAUUGGAAACUGGGGAACUUGAGUGCAGAAGAGAAAAGCGGAAUUCCACGUGUAGCGGUGAAAUGCGUAGAGAUGUGGAGGAACACCAGUGGCGAAGGCGGCUUUUUGGUCUGUAACUGACGCUGAGGCGCGAAAGCGUGGGGAGCAAACAGGAUUAGAUA